CAAUAGCGUAUAUUAAAGUUGUUGCAGUUAAAAAGCUCGUAGUUGGGUUUCUGGUGGGAGCGAUCGGUCUGGCGCUUAGCGCGAGUACUUGCAUCGUCUCCGGCCAUCCUUGGGGAGAGUCUGUCUGGCAUUAAGUUGUCGGGCAGAGGAUCCUCAUCGUUUACUGUGAAAAAAUUAGAGUGUUCAAAGCAGGCUUAUGCCGUUGAAUAUAUUAGCAUGGAAUAAUAAGAUAGGACUUUGGUACUAUUUUGUUGGUUUGCGCACCAAAGUAAUGAUUAAUAGGGACAGUUGGGGGUAUUCGUAUUCCGUUGUCAGAGGUGAAAUUCUUGGAUUUACGGAAGACGAACUACUGCGAAAGCAUUUACCAAGGAUGUUUUCAUUAA
RNAcentral lists this ribosomal RNA (383 nucleotides) under uncultured eukaryote. RNAcentral describes it as "partial 18S ribosomal RNA". It matches the Rfam family "Eukaryotic small subunit ribosomal RNA", at positions 592 to 976 of the family's 1831-position model. The record is from RNAcentral.